This 728-nucleotide ribosomal RNA is filed under the name Bacillus mycoides. RNAcentral describes it as "bacterial SSU rRNA". It matches the Rfam family "Bacterial small subunit ribosomal RNA", at positions 158 to 870 of the family's 1533-position model. The record is from RNAcentral. Lineage: Bacteria; Bacillati; Bacillota; Bacilli; Caryophanales; Bacillaceae.
CGGGGCUAAUACCGGAUAAUAUUUUGAACUGCAUAGUUCGAAAUUGAAAGGCGGCUUCGGCUGUCACUUAUGGAUGGACCCGCGUCGCAUUAGCUAGUUGGUGAGGUAACGGCUCACCAAGGCGACGAUGCGUAGCCGACCUGAGAGGGUGAUCGGCCACACUGGGACUGAGACACGGCCCAGACUCCUACGGGAGGCAGCAGUAGGGAAUCUUCCGCAAUGGACGAAAGUCUGACGGAGCAACGCCGCGUGAGUGAUGAAGGCUUUCGGGUCGUAAAACUCUGUUGUUAGGGAAGAACAAGUGCUAGUUGAAUAAGCUGGCACCUUGACGGUACCUAACCAGAAAGCCACGGCUAACUACGUGCCAGCAGCCGCGGUAAUACGUAGGUGGCAAGCGUUAUCCGGAAUUAUUGGGCGUAAAGCGCGCGCAGGUGGUUUCUUAAGUCUGAUGUGAAAGCCCACGGCUCAACCGUGGAGGGUCAUUGGAAACUGGGAGACUUGAGUGCAGAAGAGGAAAGUGGAAUUCCAUGUGUAGCGGUGAAAUGCGUAGAGAUAUGGAGGAACACCAGUGGCGAAGGCGACUUUCUGGUCUGUAACUGACACUGAGGCGCGAAAGCGUGAGGAGCAAACAGGAUUAGAUACCCUGGUAGUCCACGCCGUAAACGAUGAGUGCUAAGUGUUAGAGGGUUUCCGCCCUUUAGUGCUGAAGUUAACGCAUUAAGCACUCC